This 200-nucleotide ribosomal RNA is filed under the name uncultured bacterium. RNAcentral's name for it is "partial 16S ribosomal RNA". It matches the Rfam family "Bacterial small subunit ribosomal RNA", at positions 29 to 256 of the family's 1533-position model. The record is from RNAcentral.
AACGAACGCUGGCGGCAUGCCUAACACAUGCAAGUCGAACGAACUCUUCGGAGUUAGUGGCGCACGGGUGCGUAACGCGUGGGAAUCUGCCCUUGGGUACGGAAUAACUCAGAGAAAUUUGUGCUAAUACCGUAUAAUGUCUUCGGACCAAAGAUUUAUCGCCCAAGGAGGAGCCCGCGUAAGAUUAGCUUGUUGGUGAG